Molecule: ribosomal RNA, 422 nt
Filed under: uncultured bacterium
Lineage: Bacteria
Description: bacterial SSU rRNA
Rfam family: Bacterial small subunit ribosomal RNA
Source: RNAcentral
UCGAGAAUCUUCGGCAAUGGGCGCAAGCCUGACCGAGCGACGCCGCGUGGGGGACGAAGGCCUUCGGGUUGUAAACCCCUGUCGAGGAGGAGGAAGGGGGCGUGCAGAGCGUCCCUUGACCGAUUCCUGGAGGAAGCACGGGCUAAGUUCGUGCCAGCAGCCGCGGUAAGACGAACCGUGCGAACGUUAUUCGGAAUCACUGGGCUUAAAGCGCGUGUAGGCGGGCCGCCACGUCGGGCGCUGAAAUCCCCCGGCUCAACCGGGGAAGGGGCACCGAUACGAGCGGCCUGGAGGGGAGUAGGGGGGCCUGGAACUUCCGGUGGAGCGGUGAAAUGCGUUGAGAUCGGAAGGAACGCCCGUGGCGAAAGCGAGGCCCUGGACUCUUUCUGACGCUGAGACGCGAAAGCCAGGGGAGCGAACGG